RNAcentral lists this ribosomal RNA (253 nucleotides) under uncultured bacterium. Its description in RNAcentral is "partial 16S ribosomal RNA". It matches the Rfam family "Bacterial small subunit ribosomal RNA", at positions 524 to 776 of the family's 1533-position model. The record is from RNAcentral.
UACGUAGGGUGCGAGCGUUAAUCGGAAUUACUGGGCGUAAAGCGUGCGCAGGCGGCUUUGCAAGACAGAUGUGAAAUCCCCGGGCUCAACCUGGGAACUGCAUUUGUGACUGCAAGGCUAGAGUACGGCAGAGGGGGAUGGAAUUCCGCGUGUAGCAGUGAAAUGCGUAGAUAUGCGGAGGAACACUAAUGGCGAAGGCAAUCCCCUGGGCCUGUACUGACGCUCAUGCACGAAAGCGUGGGGAGCGAACAGG